This 469-nucleotide ribosomal RNA is filed under the name uncultured bacterium. Its description in RNAcentral is "bacterial SSU rRNA". It matches the Rfam family "Bacterial small subunit ribosomal RNA", at positions 28 to 507 of the family's 1533-position model. The record is from RNAcentral.
GAUGAACGCUGGCGGCGUGCUUAACACAUGCAAGUCGAACGAAGAUGCCGGAGUGCUUGCACUUUGGCAGACUGAGUGGCGGACGGGUGAGUAACGCGUGGGUAACCUGCCUUAUACAGGGGGAUAACAGUUGGAAACGACUGCUAAUACCGCAUAAGCGCACGGUAUCGCAUGAUACAGUGUGAAAAACUCCGGUGGUAUAAGAUGGACCCGCGUCUGAUUAGCUAGUUGGUGAGGUAACGGCCCACCAAGGCGACGAUCAGUAGCCGGCCUGAGAGGUUGAACGGCCACAUUGGGACUGAGACACGGCCCAGACUCCUACGGGAGGCAGCAGUGGGGAAUAUUGCACAAUGGGGGAAACCCUGAUGCAGCGACGCCGCGUGGAGGAAGAAGGUCUUCGGAUUGUAAACUCCUGUUGUUGAGGAAGAUAAUGACGGUACUCAACAAGGAAGUGACGGCUAACUACGUG